GACCUGUGGUCCAGAAGGUCAUCGUGGAUGCGUGAAUAUUCACAUCCUCGGGGCAUCCAGGAAAAUGCCAGUGGAGACUCAGUGAGGUCCCAAACUUUUUCCAACACCCUGAUGGAUGACUCACCUAACCUGAUAACGCAGUGAGAAGAGGUUUUAAUGGCUGGUCUUAGUGGAAUGUCAUCCCCUUCAGAUCACGUUUACAUUUUAAUCCAGACCUUAAAUCCCUUACCUGGAAGGAUAAGAAAUGGCUACAGUGAGAAUCUCAGGCCUUUCUCAUCCCGUGAGCUGGUGAGGUAAUUCUACCACAUCAUGACCACAAACACCCAGCACUCGAUACUCCAAAAGGGAAGCCACGGGAAAGGCGGGGUGUGAAAAUCAGGAGUUCAGCCAAAACAUCCCAAAGUGAGAAAGACGUCCUGGCUGCCUGGAACCACUUUGAGGAGCCAAUGGUUAUCAACACCUUGUGAAGCCUUAGAAGCUUCCUCACUAGAGGUCCUGGCCCUCUCUCCUCCGUAAACCCAGAACCAGUCAACAGUUAUUUGUAGAGUCCUUUCUCCAAGGUGCUGGGCCGGAUGGGCCAUGCAGAGUCCACCGCCAUGAAAAAUGACAUUGCAAGGCUGUAAGUGUUAAGUAAAAAGUAUAACGCAAACGUCUGUGAGUUUUCAGAGUGGGAGACAACCAAUGACAGCCUCUUGAGUUUCUGUCCUUCAGUUUCAGGCUAAGUGGGUGCUCCAGUGACCCCUAGAUUGGCCUACUCCAGAGGCUCAAGGUAAAGGUACAAGCCAGGUCUACAUUAUGUAAACCAGGAUUGUGUGGUCAUUGUAAAACCGGUCAUGCACAGUUGUAGGAUGUAGGUAGUGCUCUGGUGAUGGCAGUAAUGAAUUGAAGGAGAGGGGAAUCAGCCAAGAGAGCACAUUCUAGCUACUACUGAUCCUUAAAUGGUUCACCUCCCUUUCCUUUCUAUGCCUCGAUUAAUGUUUUUAGGGCCAGAGAACCAAUUUAGCAAAGGAAAAGACAAUUGUAAUGUAUUCCCUAACUCUCUGCGUAAGUUCUGUGGCUCGGAUAAAAGAAAAUAUAAGUCUUCAGGGAAUGUUAUGAUCUAAUUUGGAACUUGUGAUCUAGUUUGGAAUAUCCAAUGAAUGUGCAAAAUGACUUGAUACUGAUGGGAGUGAGAUGGGGAUAUGAUACAGUGUCAGAGGCGGAAGAAGUGAGAUGAUGGGUUAGGGACAACAAUGACAGAGAAGAAGGCUUGGGUUAGACAUAUGAGCUUGGGUUGCAUUGGGUGUCUGGCUGUCUGGCAAGGAUAAGGACAGAGAAUUUCUGUGUGUGGAGCACAGAGUUUUCCAAGAAUAACAAUAGAAGACGUGGUGGUGAGGAGUAAUGGGAAAAAAGAGGUGGGAAGUACAGGAGUUAAGAACAUGGUUGUGAAUUCACAUUUGAAUCCCAACUCUCUUUCCUUGCAGCUGUGUGACCUCGGGCAAAUUAGUUAACCUCAGAGUCUCGGUCUCCUCUCUGUAAGAUGGAGCUGUAUACUUCAUCAGGUUGUGAGGAUUAAAAGAGACAACAAGGAGUUCCUGUCGUGGCACA
Non-coding RNA from Sus scrofa (pig), 1587 nucleotides. NCBI's taxonomy places the organism in Eukaryota, Metazoa, Chordata, Mammalia, Artiodactyla, Suidae. The record is from RefSeq and is a predicted model, not a curated record.